UUCUUUUUUUUUUUAAUUUUUUUUUUCAACGUUUAUUUAUUUUUGGGACAGAGAGAGACAGAGCAUGAACGGGGGAGGGGCAGAGAGAGAGGGAGACACAGAAUCGGAAACAAGCUCCAGGCUCUGAGCCAUCAGCCCAGAGCCUGACGCGGGGCUCAAACUCACGGACCGCGAGAUCGUGACCUGGCUGAAGUCGGACGCUUAACCGACUGCGCCACCCAGGCGCCCCUCCUGUUCUUUCUUUAGGGAUGAAUUCCUUCAUUCCAUCAUUUUGAAGGAAGUGAAAGACUGCCAAGUUCUGUGGUUAAAGUUGUGCAGAUUGUUGUGUUAAUCCUCAAAUCAGUUUUCUAGGUGUGCAAGAUGGUUUGGCCUUGAUCUAGCUGCAUUUCAGGGACAAGACAGGCAAAAAAAAGUUCCAUUCUUCUCCACCAUCUUGGCCUCUCCAUUAAUUAUUAUUUCUAAUAAAAACUACCUUUUAUAUGUGUCAUGACUUUUUUUUUCUUUUUUUAAUAUAUAUUUUUAAAAUUUAUUUAUUUUUGACAGAGAGAGAGACAGAACGUGAGCAGGGUAGGGGCAGAGAGAGACAGAAACACAGAUCUGAAGCAGGUUCCAGGCUCUGAGCUGUUAGCACAGAGCCCGAUGCAGGGCUGAAACUCAUGAACCAUGAGAUCAUGACCUGAGCCGAAGUCAGCCGCUUAACUGAGCCACCCAGGUGCCCCAUGACUUUUUUUUUCUCCCAGGAACCUAGAAAUUUGGAAGAGUAUAACCAGUUGUGGGAAAACCCAUGUACUGUUUGUAUUUUUUCUUUAAAAUAUAGCCACAUAUGUUUUCAAACAUAGCUACAUAGAUUUUCUUUAAAACAUAAUUAUGUAAGUUAUAAAGAAAAAAUAAAAAAAAUACAUUUAAGUUCUUUAUAUGUUUUGAAUACCAACUCUUUAUCUGAUAUGUCAUCUGGAAAUAUUUUCUCCCAUUCCAUAGAUUGCCUUUACUUUUGUUGAUUGUUUCCUUCACUGUGCAGAAGCCUUUUAUUUUGAUGAAGUCCUGCCACUCUGGACAACAGUAUGGAGGUUCCUCAAAAAGUUAAAAAUAGAACUACUCUACAGUCUAGCAAUUGCACCACUAUGUAUUUACUCAAAGAAUACAAAAAUACUAAUUCAGAGAGAUACAUGCAUCCCCAUGUUUAUAACAGCAUUAUCUACAGUAGCCAAACUAUGGAAAUAGCCCAAGUGUCUGUCGACUGAUGAAUGGGUAAAGGCAAUGUGCUACCAGUGGUGCCUGGGUGGCUCAGUUGGUUAAGUGUCAGACUUCAGCUCAGGUCAUGAUCUCAUGGUUCGUGAGUUCAAGUCCUGUGUCAGGCUCUGUGCUGACAGCUCGGAGCCUGGAGCCUGCUUUGGAUUCUGUGACUCCCUCUCUCUCUGCCCCUCCUCCUCUUGCACUCUGUCUCUUUCUCUCUCAAAAAUAAACAUUAAAAAAAUAAAAAGAGAAGAGAAAAUGUGGUACAUAUAUACAAUGGAAUAUUAGCCACAAAAAAGAAUGAAAUCUUGUCAUUUGCAACAACGUGCAUGGAGCUAGAGAGUAUUAUGCUAAGUGAGAGAAGUCAGUCAGAGGAAGACAAAUACCAUUUGAUUUCACUCAUAUGUGGAAUUUAAGAAACAAAGCAAAUGAGCCAAGGGAAAAAAGAGAGAGAUGCAAACCAAGAAAGAGACUCUUAACUGUAGAGAACAAACUGUUGGUUGCCAGAGGGGAGGUGGGUGGAGGCAUGGGGUAAAUAGGUGAUGGGGAUUAAGGAGUGCACUAGUGAUGGUGAGCACUGGGUGUUGAGUCACUAAAUUCUAUACGUGAAACAAAUACUACACUGUAUGUUAACUAACUGGAAUUUAAAUAAAACCUUUAAAAAAAGACGAAUUUUUUAAACUAAGAAAAAUGAUGAGGGGCAAGCUUUUAAGAAGCACCGUCUCCAAACCACCAAGUCUUGUGGUGGACAAUUUAUCUUUACUGUUUUGUGAAUUUUCACAGUAGUCUUUUUAAAGUUAAGGAUAAUAAAUCACAGAGAGAUGAAACACUUUGUUUAGUUCAGCUUUGCCAGGUCUGUCUGGCUAUCUAACCUUGAUGACUCAAAAUUGUAUAUAUUUUUUAUCUCUUCCGAAUGAAAAAGCAUACUAUCUGAAACCUUGGGCAGGACUCGGUUCUCCUGUGGUUUAAUUUCUCAUUUUACAUAAGAAGAAAUGAUGUAAUAAUCCACUUUCCAAAGCUUACAAAACAGGUUCCUGAGAGAUUGCCAUAUAGUGACAUGGUAGUUGGUGAUGCAGACCUAGCAGCAGGGCUUCCCUGAGGACAGAGGAAGAGCUGGAAGUACACACCCUACCCCUAUAAAUGAUUGACAGGGAAAUGGUAGAGGAAGUGGUAGGUACUAACUGGAGCUGGAGGAACAAUUCUGUGGGGAGCUGAGCCUUCCCCACUCCCAUUUAAGAGUAGCAGGUUGACAUGAAGGACAGACAGACAUUAGUACACCUGAGCUUUCCCCUUCCCUUUUCAGAAUAAGGAACAUAGGUCACAAGGGCAACCUGCAACAGCCAGCAUCCAUCCGAUCCUUCCCAUGUGCCUAGCACUAUGCAUCAACCUAUUAAAUCUCAUUUAAUGGCUGCAACAACCUUAUGAAGGGUUUUGUUAUCUCUGUUUUACAGAAGGGGCAACUGAGGAUUUGAGAGUAUAAGUGUCUUGCUCAAGAUCACAAAGCUGGGUAAGAGUUGGAGAUGAUGCUUCUGAGGCUGCAUAUGGGAUGUGAGAACAGCUUGCUCUUGCCCAGCCUGAGGCCCUGGAGGGAUUUUCUUUUCACUGCAAGACUGGCAACAGCUGUGAACACAUUUCUUGUUGGUGGCCGUGACUUCUGUUUUCAAGCACUUCCAAAGAUCCUCCUGGUUGCUGAGGACCAUUCUACACUCCUGCCUUCAUAGCCCUAAGGCCAGCCUAGGCCAUGCCUUCAUUUUCCAGGAUUCCAUGCAGGAACUUUUGGACUCCCAACAAGCUCCCAUCGGAGCUUAACAGGUAGGAGACACAGGCCCAAGGACUCUUAGAAGUUGUCAUCAGGCAACUCUUCCUGCCACUCUCUAGUCCUUCUCUAGUCUUGUCUCAUGGAAUCUUUAUUGAAUCUAAACUGACAAACUCAUGAUAACCAGUAUUACUUCUGUCCUUGUUGUUCAAACCAGGACUCAAAUGAUGCAGAGGAUUCAAGAAUUUUCAGCUCAAAAGCCUUCUUCACAAAGCCAUAGUUUCUUCUAAAGAUUCAUGAUUGUGUUUGAGCCUCAAAAACUGAGUCUGGAUCACUAGAUGUUGGGCAUGUUGGAGUUGAUUUUAUUAUAAACUUUUAUGGCAUACAUAUAUAUUAUAUAUGUAUAGUUUUUCAUGAGUGAAUAUUUAAAAAAAAACCAAACUGAUCAGUAACUUUCUGUAUCUUGGCAGUACAAUUCAACUCUGAAAGUAUGAGGCUGGAACACCUGGCUGCCUGGACUUCUGGUGGCAGGGACUCUAGGAAACAAGGACGUGCAGGAGAUGGAGGCCAUACAUUACAAAUUAUUCAAAUAAUCAUCAUUCCACAUAUAUGGAAUCAUUCAUUUUUAUAAGUCUGAUGAGGCAUUAAAUGUUAUGAUACUUCUAAUCUCAUUAUAAUAAAAGCUUAUUCUUUUUUUUUAAGUUUAUUUAUUUUUGACAGAGACAGAGUGGGAGCAUGAGCCGGAGAGGGGGGUGGGCAGAGAGAGAGGGAGCCUCAGAAUCCUAAGUAGGCUCCAGGCUCCAAGCUGUCAGCACAGAGCCUGACGCGGGGCUCGAACUCGUGAACUGUGAGAUCAUGACCUGGGCUGAAGUCGAUGCUUAACCGACUGAGCCACCCAGGCACCCCUAAAAGCUUAUUCUUAUAGUCUACUGAAGGGCUCAGUUUUUUUUCUCGUGAAAUUAUUAAUCAUAAUCAAUAAAAUAUGGAAGAGGAUAAUUUUUUUUAUUUAAGUGCUUCAGCAGAAAAUGUAUUUAAACAUAAUAAUUUUAAUUUUACAUAUUUUUCAUGUUGUUUAAGAUAAGGGUAUAUUUUGAGGGGUGGACUAGAGUGCUUUAUCGCCAUUGGAACGUAGGAUUAAAAUGGUCAGUAAUAUUGUGAGUGUCUAGCAGUUGCCCUGGGCGCUGUCUGGCAGGCCCCUGAUACCCUGAGGAGAGCAGAGCCUCUGGAACCAGACUGCUUGAUUGCAUAUGCUGGCUUUUCUCUCUCUCUCUCUUUUCAUUGUUUCAAGUUUUUAUUUAAAUUCUCAUUAACAUAUGGUGUAAUAUUGGUUUCAGGACUAGAGUUUAGUGAUUCAUCACUUACAUGAAACACUUAGUGCUCAUCCCAACAAGUGCGAUGCCCAUCACCCAUUUAAUCCAUCCCCCUGCCCACCUCCCCUCCAGUAACCCUCAGUUUGUUCUCUAUAAUUAAGAGUCUCUCAUGGUUUGCUUCUUUUUCCCCCUAUAUUCAUCUGUUUUGUUUUUUAAAUUCCAAAUAUGAAUGAAAUCAUAUGAUAUUUGUCUUUCUCUGACUGACCUAUUUCACUUGGCAUAAUACUCUGUAGCUCCAUCCACAUUUUUGCAAAUGGCAAAAAUUCAUUCUUUUUGCUGGCUGAGUAAUAUUCCAUUGUGGUGUGUGUGUGUGUGUGUGUGUGUGUGUGUGUGUGUGUGUGUGUAUCUAUAUCUAUCUAUAUUAUCUAUUCAUCAGUUGAUGGACAUUUGGGCUCUUUCCAUAAUUUGGCUAUUGUUGAUAAUACUGCUAUAAACAUCAAGGUGUGUAUACCCUUUGAAUCAAUAUUUUUAUAUCCUUUGGAUACCUAGUAGUACAUUAUUGGAUUGAAGGAUAGUUCUAUUUUUAACUUUUUUAGGAACCUCCAUACUGUUUCAGAGUGGCUGCAUCAGUCUGCAUUCCCACUAACAGUGCAAAAGUGUUCCCUUUUGUCUGCAUCCUUGCCAACAUCUAUUGUUUUCUGUGUUGUUAGUUUUAGCCAUUCUAACAGGUGUGAGGUGAUACCUCAUUGUAGUUUUCAUUUGCAUUUCCCUGAUUAUGAGUGAUGUUGAGCAUCUUUACAAGUGUUUGUUACUGACUUUUCUCUUAAUGAACAACCUACCUAUGUGUUCAACUUCCUUACCUGUGAGAUAGCAACAAUAACACUACUGCAGAAGGUUGUUGUAGGGAUAAAAUGAGUUAAUGUAUGUGGAGAGUUAGGUCAGGGAAUGAAAUCUUAACCAUUAAACCUUGCCUUUUACCCAAAUCCAAAUGAACACUUUUUCCCUCAUAAACAUGAUGUCUCAGGGCCAUAAUCAUUAGACUGACAGACUUCUCACAAACAGAGGACAGACAGACUUGUUUCAGAAUACUCCUGUCAAUGGAUGUUGUCAGGUUACAUCCUUGGGCAAUUAUUGGAUAUUUACCAUGUGUCAAGUGGUAUGCUUGGGUGGAUGGCAGGAAUAUGAAGUGGCCUUAAACGUGGUCUGUCUCCAUGGAAUUUAGAAACAUGACAAUAAAAUGGGCACAUAAUGGGUAGUUUUCAGAGCAAGAUAGUUUGCACAGGGUCAGUUGAAACCAUAAUUGUGCAAAGAGAGUUUAGCUUAUGUUGACAUGGACUGGUUGUCCAGGACUUUGUAUGUGGUACUCUACUUCAUGCUUCUUUUAUUAGAAAGAUAUCUUUUUCCUCCUUGAGGAAGCUUUCACUGACUCUACUGCCAGUCUCCUCUGGCACACUGGGCAAAGAAUGGGGAGGGCAUUCCAUGUAGGAGGAACAAUAUAAACAAAGCACUGAAAACAUUGGAGAGCAAGGAGAUCCUACAUGGGAUUGGUUUUGUGAAAAGGUAGUGUGUACCAUGGAACGUGAUAGGAGUGUUACUGAGACAGGGCAGGUGAUGGCAGGCCAUCAGAAGCUUUUAGGCAAAAUAUUGUUAUAAUCAGGCUUUACAUGUUAGGAAAUAAUCCAAUGUCCAUGUGGAGGAUGGUGUUCCCAGAGACAGGACGGGAGAUAGGGAAAUCAUUAGGAGGCUAUUGUAAUAGUCCUAGUGAGGCUUGUUGCUGGCACUUGUUGUGGCUUAGUCAGUGGUCAUAGGCAUGGAGAGGAGGGCAUGAGCUAUUUGGGAGGAAAAAUCUGCAGAGGUCAGGAGUCAUAUGAGUGAUUGGGAUUCAUUAGAAUAUGUCAUUGCCUGAGAUAGGGGACAUAGGAAAAAAAGCAGGAUCAGACAGAUGGGAAUCGUGAGUGUAAAGAACCCAUUAGACAUCCAGAUAGCAGAGUCUUGUUGAGGUCAGAUGUGAGUCAGUUACUAGCAUAUGUGGAUGAAAUGGGCCAGAGAGUAUGUGGACUGGGCAGAGUGGUAGGCCAGGAUGCGGUCUGGGAAACACUCAUAUUUAAAGGUGGGAGGAGAAAGAAGAGACACAAAGGAGCCUGAGAAAAAGCAGAGAUGGGGGCGGGGACAGGACUGUAGGGAAUGGGAAGGAAGUGGGAGGAAACCAGUGUGGCUUACAUUUGAAAACUUGGCUAGUCAGGUUUGGAGAGACAAACACUAAUUAUAAGAGAAUAGGCAGAAAAUAGGUAAGCAAAGGGAAGUUUGAAUAGGAAAACCAGGAUAAUCCUGCUGGAAUGGUCCAGGCAUGGGGUUGUGACUGUAUGAACCAGAGUGACAACAGAGAAUAGAAGAAAAGGACACUAGGAGGCUGGUAGACUGGGCAAAGAUGAUGCUAUUGUCAGGAAGGUCAUCCCCAGUCAGGCUACUUCCAGGGAUAUGUUCUUCUAGGUUGAUCAUAGUGUAGAAAUUACAUAUAAAACAGAAUGUAAUAGUGUUAUUAUUGAAAAUCAGAUUCUAUUUGUAUAUACUAGUAAAAAGUGUUUCAGUGAUGUUUUUCACAGGCACUCACUUUUUUGUAAUUUAUUUUGACAGAGAGAGUAUGUACAAGUGGGGGAGGGACAGGGAGAGAGAGAGAGAGAAACAGAGAGGGAGAGAGAGUCACAAGCAGGCUCCCUGCUGUCAGUGCAGAGCCUGAUGUGGGGCUAGAUCUCAUGAACCAUGAUAUCAUGACUUGAGCCAAAAUCAAGAGUCAGAUGGUUAACGAACUGAGCCACCCAGGUGCCCCAUGGGCACUCACUUCUUAUUUAAAUGUGCUGAGACUGUGCCUUAAAGUGACAAAUAAAGAUAAUACAAUUUGCAUCUCUCAACUGGAGGGCAACUAGUAUAACAUACUGUGUAAACUCUCAGACUCUGCUAGUUCCCACUUGUUUAAAGAUGGAGCAGUAGAAUACCUUCCUGAAAAUGUUGUUUUGAUAACUCAAUGAGAUCAGUGUGCACAUAAACAUAGUGACUGGCACAUGAUAAGCACAGAAGAAAAGAUUCAUUGUUAGUGUUAUUCUUAUAGUGGAAGUUACUCUUAUGUGUGAUUUUUAUGCAAAUUGAAAUUUAUUGUACAGUUUCAGUAAUUUGAAAAUUAUUAUUAUAAGUAAGCUUAUAUUUGCUUCCAAGCUAUUAGCAAGAAGGAGAUAUUAUUAGCAAAAUAAAACGUACAGAAAUUAUUAAAAGGAAAUAUUUACCUACUUGAGAAAGCUGCUUUUUCACCAUUUUAGGAAAGCUCUUCAUAUACACAUGAUUGAAUUCCAUGUAAACUAAAGCUAAUGUGCAGAUAAUUGGAGUACAUUAGAAGUUAUUCAAAUCUGUUAAGGAGUGCAGAAUGUCUACUAAAUAACAUUUAGCCCAAUUUAGCCACAGGGAACUUAGUCUUAAAAUUCUGUUUGUUUGUAUAUAUUCUAUAGCAGAAAAAUUGUAUUCAGUUCAGAAAAUAUUUCUUUCCAAUAGGUCAAAAUUACCAGGGAUUUGGUAACUUUUUAGUUUAUUUUGGGGUGUGUAUGAUUUUAUGGCCGAGACUAGGAAGGGCUUUAUUUUAUGUUCCCUCUGAAAUGUGGCAUUCUCUGGGACUGUAUUAUACAUAUGGGAAGUAUUCACUAAAUAUUACUAGUAUUUGUGCAGAAAUAAAAUAAAAUUUUUGUAAUAAUUUCAGAAAUUGGUUCAUCAUUGCAUGCAGUUUAUUGGAACAUUUUAAUGUUUAUUUUAGUCAUCUAGUGUCAGGAUAGGAAGAUAUCUUACUUUAAUUAAUGGUUUGAUUAUCUUCUGGAGCAUGUAUUUACAUAUUAUUUCUCUUUCUUUCCCAGAGAAUAGACUAAUUCACUGUAACUAGUCUUCCUGAAAAUUUGAUGCUUACCAUCAGGCUGUGGCUAUUGUAUUUAUGAGCAAGCAACAAGAGUCAGGUUUCUUCUCAUGGACGACUAAGGUUUCAUAUCAAGGAGUAUUUUAUUUAUCAAUCUCAUUUCCUUCAUCAAACUCUGUGAGAUGUGAUCUAUUUUAAACUCAAUAUGAAAUAUACUAAGAUUUGUAACAGUCUUGAAGUAAAUUGAUUUCUCAAAAGGUUUUUCAGUUAGCUAUUGAUUUCCCUUUUCACAACUGUGGUUUUGGUCUUCAGUGUAGAAUAAAGAAAAGAGAUGAGUUUCACCCUUCCUUGUCCAGGGUGAAUUUUAGGCCUUCUUGAGUUAAGUCAAAAGAGAAAUUAUUAUAUAAUCUUUCACUCCCAUUGUAGGUGAGAUUGCUCAUCCAUUGUAAUGAAGAUAUUUCUCCCCCCUCCCCCCAUUUGACAAUAUCUGUUUCCUGUCUUUGGAGAAAAGCAAUACCUUUUCAGAAACGAAUCUGAAGGGAUUCCAGCAUGGUCUGUAUGGCCUGAUUUAGUUGGAGGUAGGGGGUCAAGUUUGAGAGAAACUGUCUGAACUGGGGAAGAAGAUCCCCAAGAUGCCAGAACCCCAUCUUGAUAAUGUUUUUGGUCUUCCUUCUUCGAAAUCUCUAAAAUAUCUAUUUCAGGGAGUCGUACUGAAUAAAAUAUUCCAAUGAGGUAAUCUAAUUGUUUAUAGCACUUCACUAAAUCCAAUAGUUUAUGUGCAUCUAUAACUUUAUAUUUUGUGACUUGUGAAAUGACCUAAACCUCAUUGAUCAAGUCAGAUAAGACUUGGUCUUCCCAAUCACUGUUUUAGUUUCUCCAAAAGAAGAAGAAGAAGAAGAAGAAGAAGAAGAAGAAGAAGAAGAAGAAGAAGAAGAAACAACCAUGCAUUAAAAAAUGGGCAGUACUUACCAAGAGCAAAACAAACAAACAAACAAACAAAACCCCCUUUUAGGAGCCUGAUGCUUGAUGAGACUUGACAAAAGAAAUGAAUUCUGUGAUAGAUCCUCUGAUUUUAAGUCUAAGGAGCCCCUUUGUUAGCAUUAUAAGCAGUAUGCAAUUAAAAACACUCUUGGUGAAUCUUUUUAUUUUUCUUAAACAUAUUGUGAUUUCCCAGUCUCUUAUUUUUCCACAUCUAUUUCAUCUAUUCAUUGAGGUUUCAAAUUCCCUUAAAAACCAGAUAAAACCUUUUUUUCCCCAAUGAUAAGAUUUCAAGCACAAAUAGAGUGUGGGGGUUGAGUAAUUCACAUUCACCCUAAGGUAUACAAUGACUAACACCAGUCUUUUCACAAAGCAGAGAUCAUUUGCUCCUCAAAUCAAGGGCCUGAAACUGGUCUGUUCUAGGAGCAGGCAUAAUGCAAAUUGGAUGUGUUGUUCACCAUUUCUUCUGUUUCCGUGUGACUCUGUUUAUGUCUUGAAUCACCAGAUUGACUCUAUAUAUCACCAAUAACACAUUCAUCACUUCUGCAUGUUAUCUCUUGGCUUUUGGAUAGUGUAUAGAAUUGGAAUAAUUAUAACUCAGGCUGUUCAUAGAUUAAAAACAUAUGAUUUGAAACAAACAUACCUUUAAGAAAAGACAACAUUUGGAACUUGUUAUCUUGUAAGAAUAAUUUUUUUUGAAAAGACAAUCGUAUGGGAUUCUAAUGCUCUGGCUGACCUAAGAGAGGAGCAGUAAGGGGCUUAAUGCUUUUCUUUCCUCACACAGUUUUCCUGGCCAGUGCCUGCGAUCUGAAUGAUUGGCAAGCCCUGUAACUGAGUUCUUGGGAAAACAAAUGAUCUCAUAGAUGGAGCUGCUCCAUGUUAGGAAGUGCAAGAAUUAUGAAAUGCAGUCACAGCAGGGAAAGAAGUUUGUUUGCAUUUGGAUGGCGACCUUUUGUUUCUAAGCACCUCUGAAUCAUGGGAUAUGCUUGAGGCAACCAGAUGUUGGAAGAGCAUCUGCACUUCCCUGAUUAGUUUCUGGUGGCUGCAGCCAUGCCCCACUGUUAAGUUGACAUCUGGGAGUCCCAAAAUUUGGAUGAUGCCAGUUGUGAAGCUGUGAGUUUGUUUGCUCUCUUUGUGAGAACUAAAAUAUGUCUCCACACAUUGCCAAAUGUUCUCUGGGGCAAAAUCAUACCUGACUAGAACCACUGCUAAGAGAAAGCAACAAGAGAAGUACUGUCUUUGGGUGGGUUUUCAUCUCUGGAAGGCAGGAGAACAGCUUUGGGUCGUUUGGGUACAGAGACUGGGAAUUCCAAGAUGCCUUAGUAUCUGGCGAAAUGUAGAGGCUUCUACUUGGCUCAUGCAGGGUGAGUGCAGAUUAUCUUUGACAUUUACUGGAUGGGGACGUUUUUGCUACAGGAAUGAAGUGUUUUCCAGUUUAUUUUAAACUGAGACCUCUCAAUUCACUGUGAUAGUUGGUUUGGCAGACUUAGUUGCCUUUAAAAACUCCUCCAUCUUGAAUGAAACUUAAAAUGACUCUGAGCCCGGUCGAAGAAGGAAAAGUUGAUGAAGUAACCCCUGGGCACUGCUGCCCUAUGAGUCAUAGCUGGGGAAAAGCAUCAAGGGCUUCUGUCACUGCGUGUCUCAAAGACCUUGAAUGAUGUGGGGAAUGGACUCCAACCGGUCAUCUGGUCACACCCAUGGCUUACUCCCUGGCUCGUGGACUGCUUCUUAUGUUACUUAACUAAGACUACAGAAAAAGUGCCUCAGCAUAUACCACACUCAGAGCCUUUAUGAUCUGGAUGUUCGAAAGGGCAAUGAAACAAAAGAAUAAAGAUAAAAUUAGGUAUUUUUACUAAUGGUUAGAAAAUUUUAAAGCAAUGAAAGAAAGUAGUGUAGCUCAAACGAAUUGCUGAGGGAAGGCAAAGUUCAUGAAAGAAACAUAUUAUGGUUUUGCCUGUAUUUCUUUUUGCUUCUGGACAUGUAAGUAUGAGUUAAUAAGCUUAUAAUGUGCACUAUACAAUAUUAGUUUCUUAUCAGAGGCUUGUUGUCCAAAAUGCUUACAUUAUUGGAUUGAGUUAUAAGUAUGCUUAUUUUCUGAUGACAAAUUUGGGCCCAGGGAAUAUUUCCAAUUGCAUCUGUUGUUUCAUUAUGAAUAUAAUAACACUAAUUAUUUCUGUGACUUAUUUCACUAGAAUCCUGGCAAUAAAACAGCCCUAAUUUUUAGAUUAUUAUAUUACCCUUCCCCAUCAAGAACACUUUCAUAGCACUGAUUAAGAGCAGCACCAAAAGAACAGGCCUCAUAUCAAACAUUUUGGUCCUCUGAAAUGAGAUAAUUGUUUUUAGAACAUAAUAAACAAUAAAGUUUAGCUCCCCAUAGAAUUGAAUUUGAUUCUGAUCUUCAAAUCAAGAAUUAAAUAUUUUGUUAAUGGAUUGAAAUUAGAUGUAAUCUAUGUAAAAACUAGAGAAAGAUAUAUUUUCUUUUUAAAACACAGUUCACACCACCAGGCACAGGUUUCUAUCCUGAGGCCACAAACCCCGUGAAAUGUGUGUGUGUAUGUGUGUGUGUGUGUGUGUGUGUGUGAAAGAGAGAGAAAGAGAGAGAGGGAGAGAAAGAGAGAGAGAGAGAGAGAUGUUGUUUGUCAUUGUCAUUUUUUUCUGGGGCAAGGUAUAUAGUUUUCAUCAAUUCUCAAAAAGGUCUAUGAUUAAGGAUCUCUGCCCAAAGAUAAGCAUACAAUUUCAGGCGAGUGAUUUGGUUAUAAGAGCCUUUUUCUACAGAUGGAAGCUGAUUGUGUUGUAUUUCUGAAAAAAUAUUUUCUUUAUAAUAACAUUUAUCAUCAAAAAUCUUAAUGUUUGAGAAAUUAAAAUGGAGCAUUCUGUUAGUAUUAAAGAAAGAAGUGUUCAAAGAUAGCUUUUGGGAGCUCCCCAGGAUUCUACAAUAUUCUGCAGCUAUGGUCUAUUUUCCUGAAUCAUUAAUAACCAAGAUAUAUGGCCCUAUUUAACUUGACAUCUUAAGGCUUAUAAUUUAGUUGUUUGAUUUUACUUUGUCAUUUGCCAUGUGUUCAUAUUCAUAGCUCUUCAACAGUGUCUAUCUAAAAUUAUGAAAUUCAAUUGUGAGGUGAAUGGAACUUUAGGAUAGCAUUCAAAUAAAUUCCUUCGCUCCAUCCCUUCUUUCCUUCCUUCCUUCUUUUUGUUUUAUUCUUUGUACUUUUUUCAGUACUCUAAAAACUGAAUGUGUUUCGCAAAGCUGUGCAAUAUUACCAGUAAUAGUAACAAAACAAUAAAGCUUGAUUACCUAAGAGAUUGCUCUUUUUUAUGGCUUAUGAUUUAUUUGAGAAAUAGGGGGAAAAAGGCUCCUACCUCAUUAAGUAGGGGGAAAAAAAAAGCUAUCCUCAUUAAACUAACAUCUGAUCUACUGUAGUUUUAACUUUCAUUUCAAAGCACUAAUAACUUGUCAUUUGUAGAAAUGCUUUGAAUAGCAUACCGUCCCUGAUUGACUGCAGGGCUAUAAUUCAAUCACCAGCCUCUACUGACACUAUGAUCCCCAGGGGUGCAGCUUGAGGCUUUAGGAAUGGCAGCUAAGUCCCAAACCUGAAUUACAGCUCCGUUAUUCAAUCCGGAGCCAUGCUUUGUUAUUUAUAGUACAUAGAAAGAGAGUGUGGACUUUUCGAAGGAGGAAGACAAUAAAUCAAACUAACAAGAUGACUGGCUCUAAUAUUAAAAUGUAAAACUCUAUGAUGUAGAGGUAGAAAGAUUAAUGAGCAUAUGACGUAGGGUUAUUAAAGGUGUGAUGGGCAGGAGAGGGUUUGGAUUAUGGGGAAAUUAAAUGAAGUAUUUCACUGGAAGGCAAUCAAGACAGUGGAAGUUUUUAAAUGACCAGCUAAUAGACCUGGUCUUAUUACCGUAGUGAUAGAACCCAGUCCUUUUUGUAAUACCCUUUCUCCUAAAAUCCCCAAGUCUUACUGUCAUGACAAACAAUCACAAAGGCAUGCAAACACUCUCGCAUGUUACUGUUAUGACACUGCCACUGAUGUGUUCUUGCUGCAGUUGCUCUCCUGGGGAUGGGUAGUUGUAACAUUUGGGAAGGCCUGAAACAAAGCAAUAAUGAAGUGAUGGUUUUCAGGAAUGAUCACCAAGUAAUACAUUCACCGUCAUUCAAAGAUAUUAAUGUAAGUUUGAGGAAUGAGAAGAACACCAGGUUUUCCGAUGGUUUCACUUGAGGUAGUAUACCAAUUAAUAGAGUUACAAGUUAAUAUCGGAGGAUCCCAGAUUAUUGGCUCCUGUUUCUGUGUAACAGAAUCAGUUGCUAAAACCAAUUUCUCAGCACGCACCCUUUAACCUUUGCUGUGGUUGUUUUUGCAAUCCAUUUACCUGAUCCCUCUUUCCCCUCUCCUUCAUCAUCCCUUCAAUACUUUAAGCCUCAUUUCCUGUCUAGCAGUUAAUAAAAGAAAAAUGUCACCCCCAUAACCCUUACCCAGGCCACCCUCCCUUUCCUUCAGAUUUAUAGGUCUUUGUCUUAGAGUUAGUUUUUUUCACCUUUGUUUAAAGUUUGUCAGCCUGUCCAAACUUUCAGAAAUCUGCAAGUUGACACUCAGUAUAAUGAUUGAGGUAUCUUUUGUUUAAAUUCAGAUUCCUGAGGCAUUACCAGUGGAAGCACUGUGAAAUAUGGAGGACAAAUCUGGUGUUAAAAAAUAACCCAACCACCCCCAAAACAACCACAGACCUCAACUAGAUAUGGCUGAUCAGCUUUUUUCAGCGUAUAUGAACCUCACUGGAGGUCCAGGAGGACCACAUUCUGUUCCCCUUCUGCUGCAGGGUGCCACCCUGGACGUCUGCUCUUCCUGCAGUCGCUUGCAUGGGGUCUAAGAGGAACCUGCUGUUCUGCUUCAGUACUUCAGUGAAAUUUCAGGGACCAUUUAAUACAGUUGUUUGUGGAGAGACAAACAUUUUAAAAUCUGUGUACUUGAAGGUUGUUCUCACUGCAGAGCAAUUAAUCCUUAAAAAGAAUUUUUAAAAAUUCCUCCUGUAGGGCUCGGUUUGCUAGUGUUAAUCAGUUAAGGGAGAACUAACAAGAUGCAAUACAUUUUCAAAACACUUUUAUUGUUACUUAGAGUAUUAAAAAAAUUU
Molecule: long non-coding RNA, 14290 nt
Organism: Acinonyx jubatus (cheetah)
Lineage: Eukaryota; Metazoa; Chordata; Mammalia; Carnivora; Felidae
Exons: 8
Source: RefSeq, a predicted model, not a curated record